Molecule: ribosomal RNA, 253 nt
Filed under: uncultured bacterium
Lineage: Bacteria
Description: partial 16S ribosomal RNA
Rfam family: Bacterial small subunit ribosomal RNA
Source: RNAcentral
UACAGGGGGUGCAAGCGUUAAUCGGAAUUACUGGGCGUAAAGCGUGCGUAGGCGGAUAUUUAAGUCAGAUGUGAAAGCCCUGGGCUUAACCUAGGAAUUGCAUCUGAUACUGGAUGUCUAGAGUAUGGUAGAGGAUGGCGGAAUUUCCGGUGUAGCGGUGAAAUGCGUAGAUAUCGGAAGGAACACCAGUGGCGAAGGCGGCCAUCUGGGCCAAUACUGACGCUGAGGCACGAAAGCAUGGGGAGCGAACAGG